AACGCCCCCCGUCAGAAGCCUCGGGAGGGGUGUCUUCUCUCUCCCAGGGACUUUCCGUCAGGACGCAGGGCCUGGCUUUUCACUGGGUGUCCAGGGAAGCCUUGGUCACCUGGCACCUGUUUGAGCAGGAAGUCUGCAGGAGGCUUCCGAGCUGCUUCCAAUUGGAAUUCGUGACUCAGACCGUGUCUCCAAGGCAGAGCGGUCGGACCAUCCACGGGGAUCUCAGACCAC
This 231-nucleotide long non-coding RNA is filed under the name Ictidomys tridecemlineatus (thirteen-lined ground squirrel). Its description in RNAcentral is "lncRNA (ENSSTOG00000034820.1)". Lineage: Eukaryota; Metazoa; Chordata; Mammalia; Rodentia; Sciuridae. The record is from RNAcentral.